RNAcentral lists this long non-coding RNA (527 nucleotides) under Nicotiana benthamiana. RNAcentral's name for it is "long non-coding RNA (NBEN_LNC011701)". Lineage: Eukaryota; Viridiplantae; Streptophyta; Magnoliopsida; Solanales; Solanaceae. The record is from RNAcentral.
UGAGAUUUUGAGAGCAAUUUUUAGAGAUUUAGGAAUAUUUCAGAGAUUUUAGAGACUUAAGAUGAGAAAAAUUAUGCAGAGCAGAAAAGAGGCUAAAAUUUCAUAAAAACUAUUGUUUCAUUCAGUUUUGUGUGGCUUUGAAAUUUUCAAUUAAUGAACAAUUCGGAUUUUCUUUAGGGCUAAAAAUGGAUUAAAUUGGAUUUCUUUGAAAGUGUAGGUUCAUGUUUUAAAGUUUUUUUACUGUUCCAUUGAGCUUAAUGAGCUGGUUUCACUGUUGAUUGCUGAACCUGGGCUAGUUUCUGCUACUAUUUUAUUGCUGAUCCUUCUCUUCUUUUCCCUUGAAAUUUCCAGGUACAUAUUCCUUGGAACCUGUAUAAUGUGAUCCUCAUGGUGAAGAUUUAAAUAGAAAUGAAGUUUGGAAGUUUAAAUGUCCAUUUAUCUGCUUAUUAGUAAAGUAAUAUUCCUUUUUUAUGUCAAUCUUUCCUGUUUGUAGUUCCCUUAACAAAAUUUUCUUAAGCAUAACCAAG